Homo sapiens (human) is the source of this 1198-nucleotide long non-coding RNA. RefSeq lists it as uncharacterized. The transcript has 2 exons. Lineage: Eukaryota; Metazoa; Chordata; Mammalia; Primates; Hominidae. The record is from RefSeq and is a predicted model, not a curated record.
CAUUGUUUUGUUUUGCCCUUCUAUUCCAUAGACAAGGUAGGAAAAGGCUGCCAUUACUGAAUAUAUUCAAUACUACCCUGAGAGAAGAAAUGAGGUUCUCAUGGGAAAAAAGUCAAAUAUAUGAUUGUUGCUUAAUUUAAGCUUGGUGGUCAUUUUCAUAGCCAGUAUAAACUGACAGAGCCUCAGUAUUUCAAACAGACUGUACCUUUUUUUUUUUUUCCAAGACCUCUAAUGAUAUCGGAAGCUAACUCUGCCAUGGAAAAGGAGAACUUUCACACAGAAAACUAACAAAGAAAUUCUGGACUUAAACUUGACACUUGCCCAGUUGGUCUUAAUAGACAUCUAAAGAAUACUCCACCCAACAACUACAGAAUAUAUAUUCGUCUCAUCUGCAGACACAACAUACUUUAAAAAUGACUGCAUGUUUGGUCAGAGAGUCUCAACAAAUUUGGAAAAAUUAAAAUUAUACCCAACAUAUUCUCAGGUCGAAUGAAAUGCAAAUAGAAAUUACUGCCAAGAGGAAUUCUCAAAACCACACAAAUACGUGGAAAUUAAACACAUUGAUCCUGAAUGACCUUUGUAAAGCAAGAAAAUUAAGGCAAAAAUCAAAAAAUUAUUUGAAAAAAACAAAAAUUGUGACACAGUGUAACAAAACCUGUGAUAUUGCAAAAGAAGUGAUAAGAUUUGUAGCACUAAAUGCCUACAUCAAGAAAAUAGAAAUAUCUUGUUAACAACCUAACAUUACACCUAAAGAAAUAGAGAAAGAAGAACUAAAUUCUAAAUGAAGAACCCAGUUCUAGCAGAAGAAAAGAAAGAAUUAAAAUCAGAACAGAACUAAGUGAAAUUGAGAUAAAGAAAACUAUUCAAAGGAUCAACAAAAUGAAAAGUUUGUUUUUUGAAAGGAUAAACAAAAUUGAUAGACUGCUAGAUAAACAAAGGAAAAAAAGAAGAUCCAAAUAAGCACAAUCAGAUAUGACAAAGGUAACAUUACAACUGAUCUCGCAGAAAUAUAAAAGAUCCUCAGAGAUUACUAUGAACAUCUCUAUGCACACAACUAGAAAAUCUAGAGGAAAUAGAUAAAUUCCUGGAAAUAUACAACCUCCCAAGAUUGAAUCUGGAAGAAAAAGACACCCUAAAGAGACCAGUAAUGAGUUACAAAAUUGAAUAAGUAAUAAUAAAAAACUUACUAACCAGAAAA